RNAcentral lists this small RNA (152 nucleotides) under Cricetulus griseus (Chinese hamster). RNAcentral describes it as "7SK RNA (ENSCGRG00001003898.1)". The record is from RNAcentral. Lineage: Eukaryota; Metazoa; Chordata; Mammalia; Rodentia; Cricetidae.
UCUCUCCACACCUAGUUGAAAAGGACACCCUUCCCUGAAUUGAGGAGGACUGCUCUUUGGUUAAGUAGGUAUACAAGCAGCUGAGCUCCCUGCCAGAACCUCCAAACAAGCUCUACAUAAAGGAUAGCCUUUAAAACAAGUAGUACAGAAGC